This 73-nucleotide transfer RNA is filed under the name Vicugna pacos (alpaca). Its description in RNAcentral is "tRNA-Ala (AGC) (tRNA-Ala-AGC-207-1)". It matches the Rfam family "tRNA". Rfam says of the family: Transfer RNA (tRNA) molecules are approximately 80 nucleotides in length. Their secondary structure includes four short double-helical elements and three loops (D, anti-codon, and T loops). Further hydrogen bonds mediate the characteristic L-shaped molecular structure. tRNAs have two regions of fundamental functional importance: the anti-codon, which is responsible for specific mRNA codon recognition, and the 3' end, to which the tRNAs corresponding amino acid is attached (by aminoacyl-tRNA synthetases). tRNAs cope with the degeneracy of the genetic code in two manners: having more than one tRNA (with a specific anti-codon) for a particular amino acid; and 'wobble' base-pairing, i.e. permitting non-standard base-pairing at the 3rd anti-codon position. The record is from RNAcentral. Lineage: Eukaryota; Metazoa; Chordata; Mammalia; Artiodactyla; Camelidae.
GGAGGGUAUAGCUCAGUGGUAGAGUGCGUGCUUAGCAUGCAUGAGGUCCUGGGUUCAAUCCCCAGUGCCUCCA